Molecule: transfer RNA, 98 nt
Filed under: Desulfobulbus oligotrophicus
Lineage: Bacteria; Pseudomonadati; Thermodesulfobacteriota; Desulfobulbia; Desulfobulbales; Desulfobulbaceae
Description: tRNA-Sec
Rfam family: Selenocysteine transfer RNA
Source: RNAcentral
GGAAGUGGAAAGGGCACUGGUGGCUCUCCCGGACUUCAAAUCCGGUGUGUCGAGUGAGUAACUCGGCAGGUGGGUUCGAUUCCCAUGCACUUCCGCCA